UACGUAGGCGGGCAAUUAAGUCAGAGGUGAAAUCCCACAGCUCAACUGUGGAACUGCCUUUGAUACUGGUUGUCUUGAGUUAUAGUGAAGUAGAUAGAAUAUGUAGUGUAGCGGUGAAAUGCAUAGAUAUUACAUAGAAUACCGAUUGCGAAGGCAGUCUACUAACUGUAUACUGACGCUAAUGGACGAAAGCGUGGGGAGCGAACAGGAUUAGAUACCCUGGUAGUCC
RNAcentral lists this ribosomal RNA (229 nucleotides) under uncultured bacterium. RNAcentral's name for it is "partial 16S ribosomal RNA". It matches the Rfam family "Bacterial small subunit ribosomal RNA", at positions 568 to 796 of the family's 1533-position model. The record is from RNAcentral.